AAUUAUGUUGUCUCCUCCUCUUCUGAGAGAACAGUGCAGCAUUUGGGGAGCAAGAAAAGGACAUUCUGGCGGUGGGGUGUGGACAACACUGUAAAGACCAGGUCUGAUGGCACCAGUGGGUCAGGAGUGCCAGUCACGUUGUGGUCUCACCUCCCUGCGGCAGAUCAUGGAGAAGGUGGGCCCGAAGAGUCCAAGAUGGCUGUUCCAACUGAAUCUUGGUGCUUGGGAGACUCUUCUUGGAUGCCACAACUGAGCAUGAUCGUGGAAUGUUACAAGUACUUUGUGGGCCCUGGCCUCAGCUAAGGUAAUGGGAUUGGUCUUCUGAAAUGGUGGAAAGUCCAACAAAAAUAUCAGGUAUGUUCUUUUCCAAAGAAGAAUUCCAAAGGCUAGUCAACUUCUCUAGCUC
RNAcentral lists this long non-coding RNA (406 nucleotides) under Felis catus (domestic cat). RNAcentral describes it as "lncRNA (ENSFCAG00000047508.1)". Lineage: Eukaryota; Metazoa; Chordata; Mammalia; Carnivora; Felidae. The record is from RNAcentral.